UUCAUUCUGUCUUUCUGCUUCUGACACUCACAAGCCUCCCUCUGAACUGUUCUUAACUCUGACCAGCUGAACCAAGCGUAAAUUGAUGGGCUCUACACCAGAAAAUGUCUUUUAUUUCACUGAAAAUGUUGUCUGAAUGAAAACCAAAAGAUUGUGUCAUUCAUCAUACUGGGCAUUCUUUCAACAAAGGGAUUUCAAGAAAAUCUCUGGUUCAGCAAAUGCAUAAAAGAGAAUCUUUUGAUUUUCAUAGCUGUACAGUGCAGCACUAGCAGGCUUCCCACAUACACAACCCCCAUGAUGGAUCUGCUACACUCCAAAUCAUGUGAGUGACAACAGGUUUGACAGCCUUUGGGGCGGUGAAGGAUCUGG
This 369-nucleotide long non-coding RNA is filed under the name Parus major (Great Tit). RNAcentral describes it as "lncRNA (ENSPMJG00000016894.1)". Lineage: Eukaryota; Metazoa; Chordata; Aves; Passeriformes; Paridae. The record is from RNAcentral.